GUCGAGAAUCUUUCACAAUGGGGGCAACCCUGAUGGAGCGACGCCGCGUGGAGGAUAAGGUCUUCGGAUUGUAAACUCCUGUCAUGCGUGAACAAGGUUGCUUGGUUAAUACCUGGGCAAAUUGAUGGUAACGCAAGAGGAAGAGACGGCUAACUCUGUGCCAGCAGCCGCGGUAAUACAGAGGUCUCAAGCGUUGUUCGGAAUCACUGGGCGUAAAGGGUGCGUAGGUGGCGUGGUAAGUCAGAUGUGAAAGCCCGGGGCUAAACCUCGGAACUGCAUCCGAUACUGCCAUGCUAGAGUACUGGAGAGGUGACUAGAAUUCUCGGUGUAGCAGUGAAAUGCGUAGAUAUCGAGAGGAAUACCAAAGGCGUAGGCAGGUCACUGGACAGUUACUGACACUGAGGCACGAAGGCCAGGGGAGCGAACGGGAUUAGAAACCCUAGUAGUCC
This 449-nucleotide ribosomal RNA is filed under the name uncultured bacterium. RNAcentral describes it as "bacterial SSU rRNA". It matches the Rfam family "Bacterial small subunit ribosomal RNA", at positions 354 to 796 of the family's 1533-position model. The record is from RNAcentral.